This 2435-nucleotide ribosomal RNA is filed under the name Triticum aestivum (bread wheat). RNAcentral's name for it is "partial small subunit ribosomal RNA". Lineage: Eukaryota; Viridiplantae; Streptophyta; Magnoliopsida; Poales; Poaceae. The record is from RNAcentral.
AGGAAGAGGGACGGAUGUUAUGUUUCGCUUGCUUUGACUUCGUCGCUGCGCUUUUUUCCAAAGCUUUUUAAACUUAGGUACCGUUAAAUCUAAUCUUAAUGUCCCAAAGCUUAAGUCUUAAGAGGCGCCGACGCGGGUACCCUUGUUGCUCCGACCCACGCGCGCGCCACGAGCGAGACCACGAGACGCUCGACGACGACGACGACAGCGGCAGCCGCCACCGGCUGCUGCCGCCAGACGGCGCCGCCAGCGACGUGGUCGGGAAGAAGGGCUAGCCGACCAGGGGCGGCGGCGGCCGCAGACGCCUACGCCGGCGCGGCGGCGGCGGCCGACGAAGCCGCCGGCGCUGGAGCUCGGGGCGCGCCAGGCGCGGGUCGCAGUGGUUGUAGCAGCGCUAGCGCGAGUGGCGCCCGGAGCAGCGCGACCGCCAGCAGAGGAUGAGGACGCAGGAGGACACCGCGGCGCAGCGGCUUCCGCGCCUCCUGCUGGCGCGGCGGCGCUUCGGCCGCCCCCGUGAACGGCGCUCUUAAGGCUCACUACGGCCCUCGUCGCGGGCCGUGGUCCGCAGCGGCGGCGGGUCGAGGUGCCGCAGCCUGCGCUAAAUGGACCUGGGAGAGUGCCGCCACUACCUCCACGCGGUGGUGGCCAGGUCGGGACUGGACGCGGGAGAGGUCGACGUCUUCGUCGGCUCGGGACUGGAGGCGGGCGACGGCGGCGACUUUGCCGACCCGUGCGUCGGCUGCGGCGGCGGGCGCCGGUGCGGCGGAUACUGGCCGUGCCUCAUGUGGAGGAGGCUGCUCCUGGUCCGCUGCAAAAUGUGGCGCGCUUUCUGGUUGUACAGAAGUAAGUCGGCCUCGUGCUCGGUCGCGUCGUGGUAAGACCUCGUGCGUCACGGCGGCGGGGGGCGAGGUCGCGGGCGCCGCGACGGUGGCGUUCGCUUAGCGGAUGCCGGAGGAGCAGGCGGCGGCAACGGCUCCGUCUCUGACGACGCCGGCUACGGGCGGCUCAGCGGAGGAGGACGGCGGGACCGGUUAAAUCGCGACUGGUCAGGGGGACUUCGGAGACAGGAUUUGUCCCUUCGGCUCUCGAGACUGCAGGUCGGCCCGCCUUCGUGGGCCGGCGGGUCGGACUUUGGCGACGUGACCCUGUUCGAGGCCCGGUAGAGGCCGGCGUGGUGUCAGACCCUGGUCCAGUUCUUAAGGCUGAGUAAGGCGCACCUACUCCGCCGUUACCUCUUGAACAAGGGGGUUUUGUCGUGGCGGCGGCGGCGCCCCUUAAGGCCAGUCCGCCGUCGUUCUCCUCCCGUCGUGUCGGCCGACGAGCUGGGUUUCUCCGACGUCUUGCACCGAUAGUACGAUUUCCGCGAGUUACACUGGCGCCUGCUCCACUAGCCUCGUGAGCACGUGCCUUUAGACCUUCUGUUCGGACUCAACAUACUUUGUGAUCGAUUCUACCGUGGUUGCUUUCUUCUUCUCAAUUUCGACUUUCUAAUGUCGCCACUAAAUAGUUUUUAACUAGGUCGUCUCGCGAAAGAUUUUCUGCAAGAGUUACAAGGAAAACGGAAGUUCUCUCACCUACGUUACGAAAUGUCUCGUUUGAAACUACGACUUCACUUAAUAAAUUCCUUUAGAAAACCUUGAUACCUCCGUCGAACAAGUCUGGAUUCUUCGUCGUUAGACAAGAACUUCAACGACCUACGCCAAGAGUUCUGACCCUUGGCGUACUUGCUGCCGUGGUUGGCUCCGCUCCGCUCCCGGAAGUUUGAGCUGUGCGAAGAUUUCGAGCGGCUGUAGUUCAGUUGGCUGCCGUUUUGCUGUGACGAGGUGAAGCACCAAGUUCUCUAGUAGGCCAGUCUUCCGAAGCUGAGGCUGGUUGGUCUUUGGUUGUUAGGACCCUGACCGUCACGGUCGUUUCUUGCCAAGUUCUUCCUGCCGGACUUUCACGACCGUCCCGAGUCGUCGCUCGAGAGUUUGCACUCCUUCCGCCGGUGCGACCUCUACCUGUGCGACUCGCCGUUGGACGACUCCGAGCGCUGGCUGGACCUCUUUCACUCCGACCAGAACGUCGAGUCCCUCUGCACACGGGCAGUCCUUUCGAGCCCGCGCCCCAAGAAGCUCAGCUACCUACCAAAAGAACCUUCCCGCGUCCGCCUCUAGCCCUCGUACUUCUACCGUCUCUCCUCGCGCAACGUCGCACACUUCCUCUGGUGCGUCAUGAAGGUACCGCUACCGUUGUACCUCCUCGGAAGAGUCGGAGACUCCCACAAGUACCACCACUGUCUCAAGUACAACUAUGACCUGGCGCACACGGCCCUGCAGCCGUCCUGCGGCCUCUCCCACUACUACCCCAGGCCAUUCAGCAAGGCGCAGUCGCGGCCGUGGAGCCACGGCGGAGCGGCCAUACUCUGCGCCGGCGAAUCGAGCAGCCUGCUCCUG